UAGUCGAUGGGAAACGGGUUAAUAUUCCCGUACUUGGUGUUACUGCGAAGGGGGGACGGAGAAGGCUAUGUUGGCCGGGCGACGGUUGUCCCGGUUUAAGCGUGUAGGUGUGUGUUCCAGGUAAAUCCGGUUCACUUUAACACUGAGGCGUGACGACGAGGCACUACGGUGCUGAAGCAACAAAUGCCCUGCUUCCAGGAAAAGCCUCUAAGCAUCAGGUAACAUCAAAUCGUACCCCAAACCGACACAGGUGGUCAGGUAGAGAAUACCAAGGCGCUUGAGAGAACUCGGGUGAAGGAACUAGGCAAAAUGGUGCCGUAACUUCGGGAGAAGGCACGCUGACAC
Molecule: ribosomal RNA, 345 nt
Filed under: Salmonella enterica subsp. enterica serovar Virchow
Lineage: Bacteria; Pseudomonadati; Pseudomonadota; Gammaproteobacteria; Enterobacterales; Enterobacteriaceae
Description: partial 23S ribosomal RNA
Rfam family: Bacterial large subunit ribosomal RNA
Source: RNAcentral